UAAACAGAAGUGAAAGAAUGCAACAGAUCAAAAAUUAAUUAAUGAACAAGUAAACAAAUUAAGAAAAAUAUCAAAUCAAAAUCUAGCUUUAUUUGUAUAGCACAUUUCAGCAGCAAGGCAUUUCAAAGUGCUUCACAUCAAAUCAAACACAAAAAUACAAUGCAAUAUAUGCACAAAUAACUCAUAGAAACAAAUAGAUAAUGAGAAAAAGCACAACAUUUAUUUUGUAUACAAAUUUUUGUUUUUGAACACACGAAAUAACUUGCUACCAGCACGGAAUUGGGUAGUAAAAGCAAAGUUUAGCCUUUAUUCUUUUUUUUUUUUUUAUCAACUUUCUAUUCUAACUGACAUCUGCAAGUGAAAGGAUAAAAUAUUUUCAAGAUAAAAUGGUCUGUGGGAUGUGAAUGCAUAAAUAUGCACUUAUACGUGGGACAAGAUUUUUUGGCAGAAUGAAUGAUUUGUGGAAAUGAAAAUAAAACUUGGGUUAAUAUUUGGUUUCUACACAGGAUUCAAAUUAUAGCUGCUGAGGAUGUAGACAAAUACAGCACUAUUUGUUGUGAUGUCUUAAUUUUGGGGUUUUUUUGCUGCUAAACUUUGAUGUUUUUCAACAGUACAAGAAAGUUGUUGUCUGCAUUGAAUUGCUGAAGGUGAAUGAAACUCAAUUAUAUUUUCUUUUCCUACUCAGGUUCAGACUUUAUAAUCAUUUUAUUCUCGGAAAUGGUUGUUAUUUGAGAUUUGAAGAUGUCCUGAGCGUCAUUAAACUGGAAUCAGCUUUAGGACAAACGGCCUUGUUUGCCUUUACACUUACAUUAGUAUUCUGGCAUUUCCCACCAGCAUCCUUAUAAAUGGACGGUCUCUCGUCGGCACCUAUUCCACGCUGGUCGGCACGGUUUGUGGAGUGAAACGCU
This is a long non-coding RNA of Gambusia affinis (western mosquitofish), 908 nucleotides long. RefSeq lists it as uncharacterized. Lineage: Eukaryota; Metazoa; Chordata; Actinopteri; Cyprinodontiformes; Poeciliidae. The transcript is spliced from 3 exons. The record is from RefSeq and is a predicted model, not a curated record.